UAAUAAGCAUAGAAAAGAGCAGUUACUUGACAUAACUACUCAAUGUAAAACCGUUUCAGGCGGUGGCUUUUGUUAUUAGAUAAAAAA
This 87-nucleotide small RNA is filed under the name Streptococcus equi. Its description in RNAcentral is "RNA anti-toxin A". The record is from RNAcentral. Lineage: Bacteria; Bacillati; Bacillota; Bacilli; Lactobacillales; Streptococcaceae.